RNAcentral lists this ribosomal RNA (253 nucleotides) under uncultured bacterium. RNAcentral's name for it is "partial 16S ribosomal RNA". It matches the Rfam family "Bacterial small subunit ribosomal RNA", at positions 524 to 776 of the family's 1533-position model. The record is from RNAcentral.
GACGAAGGGGGCUAGCGUUGUUCGGAAUUACUGGGCGUAAAGCGCGUGUAGGCGGUUAUCCAAGUCGGGUGUGAAAGCCUUGAGCUCAACUCAAGAAAUGCAUUCGGUACUGGGUGACUAGAGGACCGGAGAGGAUAGUGGAAUUCCCAGUGUAGUGGUGAAAUACGUAGAGAUUGGGAAGAACACCCGUGGCGAAGGCGGCUCUCUGGGACGGUACUGACGCUGAGACGCGAAAGCGUGGGGAGCGAACAGG